This 1556-nucleotide long non-coding RNA is filed under the name Chelonus insularis. RNAcentral describes it as "uncharacterized LOC118070098, transcript variant X3". The record is from RNAcentral. Lineage: Eukaryota; Metazoa; Arthropoda; Insecta; Hymenoptera; Braconidae.
GAAAGUUCUUUAUAAAGUGAUUCAGCUCCAAUUGUUGAUGUCCUAACAAAAAAUUUUCCAAUAAAUUUAAAAAAGAUCAAAUAUUUUAAGUUGGACCCAUAUAAUAUUUUUGAACAGAAAACUUUGUCAGUUGAUGCAAUAAUUCAAAAUCCUGAAGACCUUAUUCAGUUCAGCGAACAUCAUAAUAAAUGGCUAAAAAGUCAAUAACGAAGCCAAGAUCAAUUUUCAAUUUCAUCGGAUCGUAAUUUUAAUCGAUACGAUACUAUAGAUGAAACAGUGCGAAUUGCCAACAGUUUGGUUGGAGGAAGAACAAGUUCAUCACCAUCAAGGGUUGGGACACCACUGACUCAAGAAAAUAAUAAUUAUAACACGUCACAUGCCAAUGAAAUUGAUGGGAAUAUUAUAAAUAUAUCAGAUAGUAUAUCAAAAAAUCAGCAUUCUAAUGAUUCUGAAAAUCGUGAGAAUAAUAUUAUUGAGCAAAGUGAACAUCGGUCUGAUUCUCCAACAACUAUCAACGCCAAUUACAUUGUGUCCGCAAAAAAAAAUAUCAUUUCAACAGAUGAUACACCUUUAAUGCUGUAUAAAUAUCUUCAGAGUGAUGUUUCGGGUCGUGGUGUACUAAAGGCAUAUACAGAUGGUAAAUUUUUUCCAACUACUCGUAGCAUAUUAGUUCGCCGCAUAAUCGAUCGAGAGAAGGUGAAAGCCUUCAAAAAUGUUCCUCCCAAUAAACCCUUAGACAAAUUGACAAUCUUCAAAAACUUAUUAUAUUCCGUAUCGAGUAGAAGAUUCUAAGAAAAGUGGACCUUCUGGGAAAUUGCAGAGCCUUUAUGAUUACAUCGUUCAACGUUUAAAAGGAGCUGGAUUAAUAAAAGUUACAUCAAAAAACAAUGAUGAUAACGAAUUAAUAAAUGAAACAGAUCAUUCCACCACCAAUUGUGAUGAUAUAAACGACGAAUUGAAUAUUUUAAAGAGUAGAACCUUAGAGGCAGCUUUGGUCAUUUUAAAAUGCUGGAAAAAAACUCAUAAGUAUAGGAGAUCUCCUCUAAUGGAAAAAAAAUACUCUGUUGCUGACUAUAUACAAUUAUUUCCGUUCCUGAGUACUGAGAGCGCAGUGAAUUUAAUUAUAGCUGAUUUUUCGUCACUGUACCCUGAAAAGGAAAAUUUGUUACAAAUAUACUUAAAACUGUGCGAGCUCCAAAAACGCUUUUUGAAAAAUCAUUAGUAUUAAAAUUAGAGAAAAGUGUAAAUGAUCAAGACGACGCACUUAUACUUUAUUUUCUCUCUACAUUGAUGACUGGGCCGUAUGUGGACAUUUCAAUUGAAAACGAUCAAGAGGAACCUCCAACAAAACGAAAAAAUCGUAAAAAACGAACAUCAGCUGCAGAAGCUCGAAAUUGUGUUUUUUGAUUUCGCCGAAUGCCGUUGACGUCAACAAAAUCUUACAGGAGAGAAUACGUCUUCUGAAUGAAUUAAAUCUUUCAUUUCAACCAAUUAUUGUGUUAAUUGGAGAAUUAGGAAACAUCAUCGAUUCCUACAUCUUCAUUGAAGAAACUCGC